Molecule: ribosomal RNA, 253 nt
Filed under: uncultured bacterium
Lineage: Bacteria
Description: partial 16S ribosomal RNA
Rfam family: Bacterial small subunit ribosomal RNA
Source: RNAcentral
UACGUAGGCAGCAAGCGUUGUUCGGAGUUACUGGGCGUAAAGAGUGCGUAGGUGGUGCCCUACGUCUGUUGUGAAAUCUCCCGGCUUAACUGGGAGGGUGCGGUGGAAACUGGGGUGCUUGAGUGUGGGAGAGGUAAGCGGAAUUCCUGGUGUAGCGGUGAAAUGCGUAGAUAUCAGGAGGAACACCGGUGGUGUAGACGGCUUACUGGACCACGACUGACACUGAGGCACGAAAGCGUGGGUAGCAAACAGG